This 175-nucleotide non-coding RNA is filed under the name Butyricicoccus porcorum. The record is from RNAcentral. Lineage: Bacteria; Bacillati; Bacillota; Clostridia; Eubacteriales; Butyricicoccaceae.
GGUGCCUCUGGUUUUGUGCCAGAGGGUAAAAGGGAAACAGGUGUAAAUCCUGUGCGAUCUCGUCACUGUAAUGGGAAAGGAUAAAGCAAAUGUGCUUCGGCACAGCCACUGACAACAUUGUUGGGAAGGCUGCUUUGUACGAUGAUCCCUGAGUCAGGAAACCUGCCGGUUAUUU